UUUGGGUUUCUUGUGAUGAAGGAAGUGUUGCGGCUACGACAGCGCCACCACCACUUGUGAUUUCCUGUUGAAGGUUUGUUUCUCUUUAUAUUUUAUUUCUCUGCAAUUCGUCUCUAUUUUUUCUUUUGAAUUUGCAAACCUCCUGAUUCUUAUUUUAUAAUCUUUCUUUUUGGUAGAAAAGUUCGUUAUGAGAAGUGUCAAACUACCAUCUUCGACGCCCUUUGUUUGAAAAUUAGUUUUGGAGAUACUCCCUCCGUAUUUUAAUAAGUGUCGUUUUAGGAUUUUCUUUUUUUAAAAAUUAGAUGUCGUUUUCAAAUUUCUAUACAAAAUUUAUUACUUUUUAAUGUUUUAUGAUAUCAUAAAACAUUAAAAAAUAAAAAAUUUUGCAUAGAAAUUUGAAAACGACAUCCAAUUCAAAAAAAUAAAAAUUCUAAAACGACACUUAUUAAAAUACGGAGGGAAUAGUAUUUUUCUCUAUUGUGUCGAUUUCACAUAUUUGUUUAGAGAGUAGUGUGAACACAUCUACCAAACGAAGUCAUGGACAAUAUGUGAUGUUUAUAAAAUUUAACGAAGGUUCAAAUUCCCUUAUUUUUCUCUCUCGUUGUCGUGUUUCUAUAUAUGAGAUGUUUAUAAGGUUUAAAUUCUCUUAUUGAUAAUGGGUUUUGAUUUUACUAUCACUUGUACUUUCCAAUAAGAGAUUUAAGGAAGAGACGAGUGUUAAUCGCAGUGAUUUUGGUUAGAUUUUGUUAAGCUUGUCUAACAUUUGAUGGAUAGUUAUAAAUGGAUAAAGUGACAUGGGUACAUUAAUUUAUAUGAGAUUUGAUAAAUUUGGACGAAAUCACAAGUUUUUUUUUUUUUUUUAAAUAAAGUUAAGGUAAAAGUCUCUCAGUUUGAUUGGAUGUUGUGAGUGAUAUUUUUGUUUGAGUUGUGAAUUUUAAUCGUUGUCCUCAUUACCAUGAAUUUAUAUUCAUCCGAUAUAAUCCAUCUAAGUAAUCGCUUAAUGGACAGAGAUUUGUGGACAGAAUUAGAACACAAAACAUGAUCAUUUACCUUUAUUGUAGUAUAUAAAAACAUGGAUUUUGAAACAAAGGUUACCUUAAUGUAUAUUUAACAAAUAGCUACUUGAAUCUAACUAUACAAUAGUUAUUAACAUGGCACAAAUUAACUUGUCAUGGUCAUUGUUUAAUGGACAAAUUGAUGUGGACAUGGAGAUGAGAACAUUGGAAAUAUGUUUUUUGAGAGUGAAGAAGUAAAUUAGACCUAGAUUGAAAUGACCACAUGCUCAGAGUUUGGUGGAUGUGCGUGUAUGGUCGGUAAUUCGAAAUGAUUGUGUUGUAAAUUUUGAUGUAAAAUUAUAAGAGACUGUCAUGUAUUCAAGAUUAUAAGGAGUUUCUAUUUUAUCCCUUAAAAAUAUUUUUUGUGUCAAUGACUUCCCACACUUAUCUCAAUCAAUCGCCACUAUUAUUGUUGACUAUUAUGGAUGCCACAUUAUGGAUGUCGCAUAAUGAUUGUUGUGUCUAAGGUUUCGAGUUUUGAGUUUCGGGUUUAGAGUUUAGGGUUUAGGUUUUAGGUUUAGACUUUAGGGUUUAUGGUUAAGGGUAUAGGGUAUAUGUAUAUGGUUAAGGGUUAAGGGUUAACUCUAGAUGGUUUAGGUUUUAGAGUUAAGGGUUUUGAGUUUAGGGUUUAGGUUUAGGGGCUAAGAUUUAACGUCUAGGGUUUAGUAUAUAUGGUUUAGGGUUUAGUCUCUACUGUUUAGGAUUUAGGGUUUAAGGUUUAGUGUUUAGUGUUCAGGGUUUAGGGUUUAGGGUUUAGGGUUUAAGGUUUAUGGGUUAGUAUCUAUGGUUUAAGGUUUAGUAUCUAUGGUUUAGGGUUUAGUCUCUAGGGUUUAGGGUUUAGUCUGUAUGGUUUAGGGUUUAGGGUUUAGUGUUUAGGGUUUAGAGUUUAAAGUCUAGGAUUUAGUGUUUAGUCUCUAGGGUUUAGGGUUUUGUCUCUAGGGUUUAGGGUUUAGGGUUUAUGGUUUAUGGUUUAGGGUCUAUGGUUUAGUGUUGGUCUCUAGGGUUUAGGGUUUAGUCUCUAGGGUUCAGGGUUUAGGGUUUACGGUUUAGUUUCUAUUGUUUAUGGUUUUGUAUCUAUGGUUUAGCAUUUAGAGUUUAGGGUUUAGGGUUUAGAUUUUAGUCUCUAGGGUUUAGGUUUUAGUAUCUAUGGUUUAGGAACUAUGGUUGUCAACAAUGAUAAUAGUAUUUAUGGUUUCCGGUUUCUUAUUAGAGAUUAUAUAUUCCAACGUUGUCCAUAUGGAGGAUCAUAUGGAUUUUCAUUUUUCCCUUUGUGUUUACGAUUAGGGGUUUUUAGUAAAUGGUUUAAUUAAUAGUUUACACAUUUACUCUUUAAUGGUGACUAUGCUUAUAGUUUAUCUUUUAGUAUGUUUUCUAAGUUCCACAAAAUGAGUUUUUAUUUCAAUGAUGUGAUGGAUUCUAACCUGUUUGUUGUCAUUUAAAAGCUUUCAGAGACGACAUUUCAUAGAUUCGCAUUCUUACGUACAUCCAUAGUAGUUUUUUGAUGUGGUGGAAUGAUGGGAACGCUGGUCUCAAGGAAAGGUUUUAUAAUCUAAAACGAAAACGCAUGUUGCGUUCUCGUUUCGAGUAUCUCAAUGAAAGGUCCUGAACAAUAGGGCAAUGUACAUAUGAAAACUACCAAUGUAAAGAAGAUGAG
RNAcentral lists this long non-coding RNA (2709 nucleotides) under Arabidopsis lyrata. RNAcentral describes it as "long non-coding RNA (ALYR_LNC001985)". Lineage: Eukaryota; Viridiplantae; Streptophyta; Magnoliopsida; Brassicales; Brassicaceae. The record is from RNAcentral.